RNAcentral lists this ribosomal RNA (459 nucleotides) under uncultured bacterium. RNAcentral's name for it is "partial 16S ribosomal RNA". It matches the Rfam family "Bacterial small subunit ribosomal RNA", at positions 338 to 795 of the family's 1533-position model. The record is from RNAcentral.
CCUACGGGUGGCAGCAGUGAGGAAUAUUGGUCAAUGGGCGCGAGCCUGAACCAGCCAAGUCGCGUGAGGGAAGACGGUCCUAUGGAUUGUAAACCUCUUUUGUCGGGGAGCAAAAGACGCCACGCGUGGCGUUCCGAGAGUACCCGAAGAAAAAGCAUCGGCUAACUCCGUGCACGCAGCCGCGGUAAUACGGAGGAUGCGAGCGUUAUCCGGAUUUAUUGGGGUUAAGGGGUGCGCAGCCGGAAGCUCAAGUCAGCGGUAAAAUUGAGGGGUUCAACCUCUGCGAGCCGUUGAAACUGGUGUUCUUGAGUGAGUGAGAAGUAUGCGGAAUGCGGGGUGUAGCGGUGAAAUGCAUAGAUAUCACGCAGAACUCCGAUUGCGAAGGCAGCAUACCGGCGCUCAACUGACGCUCAUGCACGAAAGUGUGGGUAUCGAACAGGAUUAGAUACCCUUGUAGUC